GGAUGUGAGGACAAUCUGGCUGGGACAUCUGACACCCCACUGAUCACCAGGGAUGAUUCAGCUGAUCUGGCUGGCUAAGUGGGUGUCCUUCCUUCCUCCAGAAGCUGCACACUCCAUGUAUGUCCAUUUAGAAGCUGGAUCAAAGAGGAUGACCAUCCCCAAUAGAGGAGGACCAUUCUUCAGUCAAAGGUAUACUUGUAGCUGUGCUCCCCUGCUAGAACUUCCAAACUCUCAAAUUUCUCCUUUCAUAUAAGUCUUUGGAUUAGGGUCCAAUGUAGUAUAAAAUCAACUUAACUUGAAUAUCUGCAAAGACCCUAUUCC
RNAcentral lists this small nuclear RNA (321 nucleotides) under Castor canadensis (American beaver). Its description in RNAcentral is "7SK RNA (ENSCCNG00000007258.1)". It matches the Rfam family "7SK RNA". Rfam says of the family: 7SK was discovered as an abundant small nuclear RNA in the mid-70s but a possible function has only recently been suggested. The record is from RNAcentral. Lineage: Eukaryota; Metazoa; Chordata; Mammalia; Rodentia; Castoridae.